GGAGAAUUACCCAAGUCUGGCUGAAGGGAACGGUCUUGAAAACCGUCAGGUCGAGAAAUCGGCGCGUGGGUUCGAAUCCCACAUUCUCCU
This is a non-coding RNA of Leuconostoc citreum KM20, 90 nucleotides long. The record is from Rfam. Lineage: Bacteria; Bacillati; Bacillota; Bacilli; Lactobacillales; Lactobacillaceae.